GUUUGUAUAAUUUAAAAAAAAUACUAGAUUGUGAUUCUAUAAACAAGAGUUAAAGCCUCUUUACAAACC
This 69-nucleotide transfer RNA is filed under the name Siren lacertina (greater siren). Its description in RNAcentral is "tRNA-His". It matches the Rfam family "tRNA". From Rfam's summary of the family: Transfer RNA (tRNA) molecules are approximately 80 nucleotides in length. Lineage: Eukaryota; Metazoa; Chordata; Amphibia; Caudata; Sirenidae. The record is from RNAcentral.